UACGGAGGGGGCGAGCGUUAUUCGGAAUUAUUGGGCGUAAAGGGCGCGUAGGCGGCUUGAUAAGUCAAAGGUGAAAUCCCUCGGCUCAACUGAGGAACUGCCUUUGAAACUGCCAAGCUCGAGGCCGGGAGGGGGUAGCGGAAUUCCCAGUGUAGCGGUGAAAUGCGUAGAUAUCAGGAGGAACACCGGUGGUGUAAACGCUUUCUGGACCAUAACUGACGCUGAGGCACGAAAGCGUGGGUAGCAAACAGG
Molecule: ribosomal RNA, 252 nt
Filed under: uncultured bacterium
Lineage: Bacteria
Description: partial 16S ribosomal RNA
Rfam family: Bacterial small subunit ribosomal RNA
Source: RNAcentral